UACGGGAGGCAGCAGUGAGGAAUAUUGGACAAUGGGCGCAAGCCUGAUCCAGCCAUGCCGCGUGCAGGAAGAAGCAUCUAUGGUGUGUAAACUGCUUUUGUACGGGAAGAAACACUCCUACGUGUAGGAGCUUGACGGUACCGUAAGAAUAAGGAUCGGCUAACUCCGUGCCAGCAGCCGCGGUAAUACGGAGGAUCCAAGCGUUAUCCGGAAUCAUUGGGUUUAAAGGGUCCGUAGGCGGUCUAAUAAGUCAGUGGUGAAAGCCCAUCGCUCAACGAUGGAACGGCCAUUGAUACUGUUAGACUUGAAUUAUUGGGUAGUAACUAGAAUAUGUAGUGUAGCGGUGAAAUGCUUAGAUAUUACAUGGAAUACCAAUUGCGAAGGCAGGUUACGAUCAAUAUAUUGACGCUGAUGGACGAAAGCGUGGGGAGCGAACAGGAUUAGAUACCCUGGUAGUCCACGCCGUAAUCGAUGGAUACUAGCUGUUCGGAGCAAUCUGAGUGGCUAAGCGAAAGUGAUAAGUAUCCCACCUGGGGAGUACGUUCGCAAGAAUGAAACUCAAAGGAAUUGACGG
This 574-nucleotide ribosomal RNA is filed under the name uncultured Bacteroidota bacterium. Its description in RNAcentral is "bacterial SSU rRNA". It matches the Rfam family "Bacterial small subunit ribosomal RNA", at positions 340 to 916 of the family's 1533-position model. Lineage: Bacteria; Pseudomonadati; Bacteroidota. The record is from RNAcentral.